AUUGAACGCUGGCGGCAUGCCUUACACAUGCAAGUCGAGCGGCAGCGCGGGGGCAACCCUGGCGGCGAGCGGCGAACGGGUGAGUAAUACAUCGGAACGUGUCCAGUAGCGGGGGAUAACCUGUCGAAAGAUAGGCUAAUACCGCAUACGAUCCACGGAUGAAAGCGGGGGACUCUCGGGCAACUGAGGGCCUCGCACUAUUGGAGCGGCCGAUGUCGGAUAGCUAGUUGGCGGGGUAAAAGCCCACCAAGGCGACGAUCCGUAGCUGGUCUGAGAGGACGACCAGCCACACUGGAACUGAGACACGGUCCAGACUCCUACGGGAGGCAGCAGUGGGGAAUUUUGGACAAUGGGCGCAAGCCUGAUCCAGCCAUGCCGCGUGAGUGAAGAAGGCCU
RNAcentral lists this ribosomal RNA (396 nucleotides) under uncultured bacterium. Its description in RNAcentral is "bacterial SSU rRNA". It matches the Rfam family "Bacterial small subunit ribosomal RNA", at positions 29 to 417 of the family's 1533-position model. The record is from RNAcentral.